GAUGAACGCUGGCGGCGUGCUUAACACAUGCAAGUCGAACGGGAAACCUUUUAUUGAAGCUUCGGCAGAUUUAGCUGGUUUCUAGUGGCGGACGGGUGAGUAACGCGUGGGUAACCUGCCUUAUACAGGGGGAUAACAGUCAGAAAUGGCUGCUAAUACCGCAUAAGCGCACAGAGCUGCAUGGCUCAGUGUGAAAAACUCCGGUGGUAUAAGAUGGACCCGCGUUGGAUUAGCUGGGUGGUGGGGUAACGGCCCACCAAGGCGACGAUCCAUAGCCGGCCUGAGAGGGUGAACGGCCACAUUGGGACUGAGACACGGCCCAGACUCCUACGGGAGGCAGCAGUGGGGAAUAGUGCACAAUGGGGGAAACCCUGAUGCAGCGACGCCGCGUGAAGGAAGAAGUAUCUCGGUAUGUAAACUUCUAUCAGCAGGGAAGAUAAUGACGGUACCUGACGAAGAAGCCCCGGCUAACUACGUG
RNAcentral lists this ribosomal RNA (478 nucleotides) under uncultured bacterium. Its description in RNAcentral is "partial 16S ribosomal RNA". It matches the Rfam family "Bacterial small subunit ribosomal RNA", at positions 28 to 507 of the family's 1533-position model. The record is from RNAcentral.